UCCCUCUUAGCUCAGCUGGUAGAGUGCGUCAUUGGUAUAGAUAAUCAUGCACGAGGUCAGUCGUUCAAAUCGACUAGCGGGAC
Mycena sp. CBHHK59/15 is the source of this 83-nucleotide non-coding RNA. Lineage: Eukaryota; Fungi; Basidiomycota; Agaricomycetes; Agaricales; Mycenaceae. The record is from the annotation of a GenBank genome assembly.